ACGUACGCUGGCGGCACGCCUAACACAUGCAAGUCGAACGAAGUAGCAAUACUUAGUGGCAGACGGGUGAGUAACAUGUGGGUAUCUGCCCUUUGGCCUGGAAUAACACGAGGAAACUUGUGCUAAUACCGGAUAAGUCUUUACGGAGAAAGCUUUAUGCACCAUUGGAUGAGCCCGCACUUGAUUAGUUUGUUGGUGGGGUAAUGGCCUACCAAGACUGUGAUCAAUAGCUGAUUUGAGAGGAUGAUCAGCCACAUUGGGACUGAGACACGGCCCAAACUCCUACGGGAGGCAGCAGUGGGGAAUCUUGCACAAUGGAGGAAACUCUGAUGCAGCGAUGCCGCGUGAGUGAAGAAGGCCCUUGGGUUGUAAAGCUCUUUCGUCGGGGAAGAAAAUGACUGUACCCGAAUAAGAAGGUCCGGCUAACUUCGUGCCAGCAGCCGCGGUAAUACGAAGGGACCUAGCGUAGUUCGGAAUUACUGGGCUUAAAGAGUUCGUAGGUGGUUGAAAAAGUUAGUGGUGAAAUCCCAGAGCUUAACUCUGGAACUGCCAUUAAAACUUUUCAGCUAGAGUAUGAUAGAGGAAAGCAGAAUUUCUAGUGUAGAGGUGAAAUUCGUAGAUAUUAGAAAGAAUACCAAUUGCGAAGGCAGCUUUCUGGAUCAUUACUGACACUGAGGAACGAAAGCAUGGGUAGCGAAGAGGAUUAGAUACCCUCGUAGUCCAUGCCGUAAACGAUGUGUGUUAGACGUUGGAAAUUUAUUUUCAGUGUCGCAGCGAAAGCGAUAAACACACCGCCUGGGGAGUACGACCGCAAGGUUAAAACUCAAAUGAAUUGACGGGGACCCGCACAAGUAGUGGAGCAUGUGGUUUAAUUCGAAGAUACGCGCAGAACCUUACCAACACUUGACAUGUUCGUCGCGACUCUAAGAGAUUAGAGUUUUCGGUUCGGCCGGACGAAACACAGGUGCUGCAUGGCUGUCGUCAGCUCGUGUCGUGAGAUGUUGGGUUAAGUCCCGCAACGAGCGCAACCCCUACUUUUAGUUGCCACCAUUCAGUUGGGCACUUUAAAAGAACUGCCAGUGAUAAGCUGGAGGAAGGUGGGGAUGACGUCAAGUCCUCAUGGCCCUUAUGUGUUGGGCUACACACGUGCUACAAUGGUACUUACAAUGGGAUGCAAAGAGGCGACUCUAAGCUAAUCCCUAAAAUGUACCUCAGUUCGGAUUGUACUCUGUAACUCGAGUGCAUGAAGCUGGAAUUGCUAGUAAUCGCGGAUCAGCGCGCCGCGGUGAAUACGUUCCCGGGUCUUGCACUCACCGCC
Molecule: ribosomal RNA, 1318 nt
Filed under: uncultured bacterium
Lineage: Bacteria
Description: bacterial SSU rRNA
Rfam family: Bacterial small subunit ribosomal RNA
Source: RNAcentral